AUAAUAAUUUGUCUUUUAAUUGAAGGCUAGAAUGAAUGAUUGAACGUAGUAAUUUCUGUCUCAUUUAAAUUUUUAGUUAAAUUUAAUUUUUGAGUUAAAAAGCUUAAAUUUUAUUAAAGGACGAGAAGACCCUAUAGAACUUUAUAUUUUUUUAAUUUAAUUAAUUAAAAUAUUUGUUUUAAAUUGAUAAAUAUAUUUUAUUGGGGCGAUAGUAAAAUUUAUUAAACUUUUAUAUUAAUAUUUCAUUAAUUUAUGAAUUUUUGAYCCUAUUUAUAGAUUAUUAGAUUAAGUUACCUUAGGGAUAACAGCGUUAUUUUUUUUAAAGUUCAUAUUAAUAAAAAAGAUUGC
This 348-nucleotide ribosomal RNA is filed under the name Lagideus sp. SS1. RNAcentral describes it as "partial 16S ribosomal RNA". Lineage: Eukaryota; Metazoa; Arthropoda; Insecta; Hymenoptera; Pergidae. The record is from RNAcentral.